Non-coding RNA from Monodelphis domestica (gray short-tailed opossum), 3862 nucleotides. The record is from RefSeq and is a predicted model, not a curated record. NCBI's taxonomy places the organism in Eukaryota, Metazoa, Chordata, Mammalia, Didelphimorphia, Didelphidae.
AGCCCCAAGCAGGGAGCUGCUUGGUCAGUACAGCACAUAUCACUAUAGAACAUCUGACCAACAGACCCCUGUCAGGGAACCUAAAUGUGCCGACGCCCAAAACAUAGAUUCCAGGAGAAACUUGUACUGACGCCCAAAACAUAGAUUCCAGGAGAAACUUGUGGGCCACGUAUGGUGGCUAGUGAUAUGCUGUCAGGCAUUGGGUAUAAAAGACUCUGCACUCACAACUGCAGGCGGAACUCUUGUGCUGAGCUUCCCCUGGUGUAUACCAGAAUAAAGGACCCUCCUGCUUGAUUGCAUUGUCUGGGGGUCUUCCAUGGUGGUGGGUGACAAACUGGACCUUAACAUUUGGGGUCUCGCCGGUACCCCUCCACCUUGGAACCCCCCAGACAGGAGGGCCUAAGGCACUGCCUUGGACCGGACCUUCAGGGGCUGACUUCCCCUUGUGACCGGUCUGCCAAUCGAGGGAAGGAGUGACAGGACACCCUUCAGAUCUCCAGGCAGUUCUCCACCGACCUGGGACCCUGGAAUCCACUGAGGAUGCUCCCCUAAAGACACUGUCUGCAGCCUUCCCUCCCCCUCUCUCCUACACAAAGUCCUGGUUUUCUACACUUCUAUUUUAGGGGAUGACUCUCCCUUGUGACCUGUCUGCCCAUCAGGGGAAGCAGUCGCUGGACAUCCCUCACAUCUCCAAGCAGAUUCCCAGCUACCUAGGACCCAGGCACUCACUGAGGACAUGUCCCUGGGACCCUGUGCCCACAGCCUUUCUGCUGGAAGAUCUCAAAUUCCUCUUCCCAGAAAGAUCCAACCUAAGAACACUUUGGAAUAAGUAGCCCCAUCCCCUCCUCGUUAUCUUAAAUCUCUCUUGUUCUAGCCAUGACUAUCUCUUUCCUUACAUUCUUUGUCCUUUUUGGUAUUUCAAAUCGUACAUGCCAAGUCAGCUGGAAAUAUAAUUCUCUGACUCGGCUUGGGGAAGCAGUAAGCCAAAGUGGGUCCCUCUAACUGUUGGGUCUGUAUGAAGCACCCCAAAAGUGGAGAGAACCCCAGGCCUCUAGCCCAAGGUCUCAGUGCCUCUGAGGUGUAUCCAAGACCUGAGGCUUCAAGGAGAUUAGCAACCACUCCAGUUUUGGCUACUCCCCUGUGGGAUAUGUGGGUUUGUAACCUUGUCAUCUCUCUAGUUGCUUCUAGGGUAAAAGCACUCAUGGGAGUCACCCAGAUGCUAGAUUCCACCAUAACCUCGGCAAACAUCCCAGCCUGAUGCUCUCGACAUCAUGGCCUACAGUCAAUACCUCUCUCUCCUAAUGUUAGGCAGGGAGAUCUCUACACCCAUUCUCAGCUGUGAAGAAGUUACAGAAGACAGUUCCCCGUCCCUUUUUCCCUUACAUAUUAGGAGAGGGGGGAGAUGACAUGGGUACUGUACCCCCAGAAACCCAGGCCAACUAUUAUCAGGGAAACUCCCUUGCCCUUGCAUCCUUGUGACUCAACCUAGAAACACCCAAUGACCCCACCCAGGGUCCUGAGAUGUUUACCCUCUUUUGUCCUCUAGAUUUAAGGUGGACAAAGAAAUGAAUCUUUAUGCCUCCAGGCAUGCCACAGUCAGAUGACCACCUCACCCCACCAAAUGCCUGAGGGACUAACACUCACUCUGGUCUUGUCCAUACUAGGACAUAGCAUCUAAAAAGAAUAUAAACCCCAGAACUGAUGUCGUCUGGGGGACAGCCUCUCUAUCCAUGCUGUCCCCAUGGAAGAACAGCCUCUCUAUUCAUGCUGUCCUCCCAAGGAACUGUUCCCCAUCUUGCUGUUCUACCUUGCUAUCCUCCUGGCCACUCUCAACAUUACUUUCUAAAUUAAUAAAUCUUUUUUUGUUUUUAAGCUAAAAAAAAAAAAAGAGGGGUUUGAUUCAAUGAGGUGGCACUGUGUCUCCCUCAGAGGAGUUAUGGCUAUUGAGGUCGGAACUGUCCCUGUCAGACAAGAUGACCUCUUGUAACUUCCACCUCCCAAGGGGGCAACAACUGCCAGUCCCCAAGGGUUUUGAUAAGAUCAACUGCCAAGGAAAGUGAUAGCUUCCUUGGUCAGAGAUAUUGAGUCAUAGGGGUUGGAAUCAACCCCCUCCUUGUGAGAACUUAAUCCCCUUUGCUUGAUCCCUAAGAUAAACCCUAACCCAAAGUCUAAAUAUUUCCAAAUGGUUUUUUGAGCUUAUUUGGGGCAGGUGAUGGCAAAGGUAUGAAGGGAAAAAGAAGGCGGGUAAAGGGGAGCCCUAAAAGUUGCCCUCCCUCCCCCAACCACCCCCCUGCCACCCUCCCCCCCUUGUAGAUUGGCUUUUCAAAGUCUGGAGGCCAGAGGCUUUUUGUGCCCUGGCCUCCUCUCCUUUUGCCAACUGCUUCUUAAUCUUAUUCUUAAAGUUAACUAACUCUUAUGGUGCAGUUCAAGGAACAAGGUUAGGGAAAGAGAGAGACCCCAUGGGAAGGAUCUGGUUGGCUAUGGCCAGAAGAGGCCAAACUAAAUCCUUCUUGAGAAGAGGUGUAGCUGUCAUUGCAGAGUCUCAGUGGAGGUAUUUUUGGGGUCUCUGAAGGAAGACAGGUCUCAGAUGGAUGGUCUCUUACCUCUGCUCCCAGAAAACCACCUUCCCUCUUCACUUCCCAGUCUGGAAGUAACUCCUCCUGUUAGUUGGCUUCAAAGUUCCAGGCAGCUCUCAGAACCCACAGCAUUCUCCUUCCUUCCCCUACUGCUUCUCUGACCAAUCUGUCAAUCAGGCUGGCAUCUCUCUUCCUUACCUUUCAAAUCCCACUUUUCGUCUUGUGCAAUUGUUAACCAAACAAGGCACCAGGGUUAAACAAGUAACUUAAUAUUUUUGUUCUUAGCACUAGGUUUUUAAACUAUUUUUCUAUCCCAUCCCCAAAAGAAAAAAAAAUCUAUUUUCCCUAAACUCCCUUCUACACUUUAACACUAUACCUAAGAUGGGAUUUAUGGGGAAAAGGUUAGGAUAGGUGAUUUCUAGGUUACAUGGAAUUGAUACAUUGGAAUAAAGUUUUUUUGGACCAACAAUGUCACAAAACAAUUUGAAACAAUUUAACUUAAUGCUACUUGACAUCCAUUUCUUACUGUUACAUUUGAAUUAUGAUAACUUUGUAAAACCUUAUUCUAUUUUCUUUUACUUAGUGCUUAACUGAGAGAAUAUUUCUUAUCUUGCUUUCUUUAUCUUAAUCUUAUUUCCUAUGUCUGUCCCUCAUCUGACUAGCCUAAUAUCAAACUUCCCUCGUCCCUGUCUUUCUGUCCCAAUGUUAGCCUUAUUUUAUGUUGUUAAUGCUAUUGUUGUUAGUGGUACCCCUAUCCUUCACUCUAUGUGGUGUUAGUAGAUUUAUGACACAUGCGAUUUACAUCAUGUACAUGAAAUUUUCACUGUACAACAUUUACAUAUGAUAUGUAUACACAUAAUAUAUAAAUACACAAGAGUUUUGCUUCUGGUGUCAACCAGACAGAAAGGUAUUUUAGUCCUUUUAUCUGUUUGAGCACUAGCAAGACUUUAUUUAUAGUUUUUACAUUUUUUAUUGUCAUUAAUCCUGCUUAUUUAAGACAGGAUUCCCAAGGCAGUGUGUGUUGUGGUCAUGUCCUAGAUGUGUAGUGUUUGUGUGUAACAUACUUAAUCCAUGUUGAAAGAUGUCUUUGUCUGCAUGUUGUCUAAAGUGAUCAAUCUUUCCUAAAGCUGUGCAUGUGUUGGAUAUAUGUCCCUAAUGUGAAGUUAAUGAGUUCACAGUGCACUAUCUUAUGUGAGCGGUCCCACGAAGAUCUGUCUUCUAGAUUAUUCUUGAGUAAAGUUUUUCUUUUGGCUGUUCAUUAUAGUUCAUUCAGUUCUUUUACUGGU